GUCUUGAGUCCCUGCUUCAGAAUCUUAUUCCUGAAAGGUUUCCAUCUUUCUCCCGUUGCUUCUGGGAUUCCUAGGUUGGCAGAGUCAGCAUAUAUGAUUCCAAAAGGCAAUCCGGGAAGACUAAGGAGACAAGCGUCAACUGGUGUCUGGCUGAUGGCUAUGACCUGGAGAUCCUGGACGGUACCAGAGGCACUGUGGAUGGGCCACGGAAUGAAUUGUCCCGGGUCUCCAAAAAGAACAUUUUUCUUCUAUUUAAGAAGCUCUGCUCCUUCCGUUACCGCAGGGAUCUACUGAGACUCUCCUAUGGUGAGGCCAAGAAAGCUGCCCGUGACUACGAGACGGCCAAGAACUACUUCAAAAAAGGCCUGAAGGAUAUGGGCUAUGGGAACUGGAUUAGCAAACCCCAGGAGGAAAAGAACUUUUAUCUCUGCCCAGUAUAGUAUGCUCCAGUGACAGAUGGAUUAGGGUGUGUCAUACUAGGGUGUGAGAGAGGUAGGUCGUAGCAUUCCUCAUCACAUGGUCAGGGGAUUUUUUUUUCUCCUUUUUUUUUCUUUUUAAGCCAUAAUUGGUGAUACUGAAAACUUUGGGUUCCCAUUUAUCCUGCUUUCUUUG
RNAcentral lists this long non-coding RNA (612 nucleotides) under Homo sapiens (human). RNAcentral describes it as "non-protein coding lnc-UBE2Q1-2:1". Lineage: Eukaryota; Metazoa; Chordata; Mammalia; Primates; Hominidae. The record is from RNAcentral.